UAAUUAUUAAUCAUCUUUAAUUACAGGCACUAAACUCUCGCACGUCGCGCGGGCUUUUCUCCCUAGUAUUAUUGAUAAAAUGAAAGAUACAAACAUUAUUUGAACAUUUAGUCGUGCCAUAUUCAAGAUUAACACUAGUUAAUAAGAAACAUAGUAGUGAUCAAUCUUAUCCAAUCCAGACACCCUUCACUUAACAAGUCCCAAGUUGAGGAUGCCCCAAGAAGUAUUGGGCCAUGAUUUUUCCUUGCCUUCAUCACCAAAACUCUAGCCCAUGCAACCCAUCCUUCCAAGUCAUCCUCUUAUCCAAGGACUUCCCCACUCCAAUAUCAUUCUCAGCCCCUUCUCAGCUUCUUUUUCACCCUCCUCAAACUUCCCUUUGCUCAAGUAAAUCUGACCCAAAACCACAUGAGGCUCUCCAACAAAAGGGUUCUUCUCAAUUGCCCUUAUCAACAACUCCACAGCUCUCUGUAACCCAACCUUUUCUGCUUCACAAACAGCCUCCCAAUACAGCUCCCUCCCAAUUUUCUGCUCUUCUGCAUCCAAGACCCUUGUGCAGUUCUCAAAUACAGGUGGGAUCACUAGCUCAAGCUCUUCAUCUCUAUCAUCUGCUAAAACAAUAACCCCUCCAUUAUUUCUUCUCCUUUGCUCAAGGAUAAUCUCCUCUUCUCUCACAAUCAAGGUGUAUAGCGCACCCAUCCUCGAUAUUGAAUUCAGCCAUAAUCCCGGCUUGCCAUCACCUGGCCAUAGACCAUAGAAAUUAUUGCUGAGAAUUCUAAACGGCCAUUGGAAUUCUCAAACAAAACAUCCUGAAAACAGAACAGCUGGUCGGAAAAAUCUGCCAUUGUCAUCAGGAGAAACACAGCUACAAUCUUCGCGAAACCGGAACUUCUUCGCCUGUUUUGAUAUGCUUCACUACUACCCCAUCAGCAGGCAGAACAGAGUUGAGUUUUCGUCUCCAACUUUCGUCCUCGUUGAACAAAUCUUUUUCCUUCGCAUUCCUCAGAGAAAUCUCCGAAAACUUGAGGUGUUCGACCAAUUCUUGAUCGUUAUAAUGAAAUAGAAGAUCAUCAUGGAUCAAAGGCUGACGAGGGACGAUGCAGAACAUGUGGAUUAGCCUCUCAGCAGCUUCUCCGACGUGGGAACGAACUACAUCCCGACCGGUGGACGGAUCAAAGAUGGCAAGAUUGACAUAGGAAUUGGAAUAAGCAGAGUGAAAGAGCCCACAAAGGCAAACAGCAUCAGGGGCUUUCCACAGCUUGAGAAUGCGAUAUAUGUCAACCAAAUGUUCAAGAAAACUUCCAUGCUUGUGCCAGCACUCGCCUGCCCCAACUGAGCGCAGGACUGAGACUAGAGAAGGAAGGUUUUUGUCGACGUUUUCGAGCUCUCCACGGAGGAAAGGACGGGCGAGUUGCAGAAGGUCAUGGAGAUAUUUAUCUUCUGAUGGAGAUGGGGUAGAAGGCAUGGUGGCUGGAAUUU
RNAcentral lists this long non-coding RNA (1476 nucleotides) under Coffea arabica (coffee). RNAcentral's name for it is "long non-coding RNA (CARA_LNC007333)". Lineage: Eukaryota; Viridiplantae; Streptophyta; Magnoliopsida; Gentianales; Rubiaceae. The record is from RNAcentral.